RNAcentral lists this ribosomal RNA (429 nucleotides) under Chloroflexota bacterium. Its description in RNAcentral is "Chloroflexi bacterium partial 16S ribosomal RNA". It matches the Rfam family "Bacterial small subunit ribosomal RNA", at positions 355 to 776 of the family's 1533-position model. Lineage: Bacteria; Bacillati; Chloroflexota. The record is from RNAcentral.
UGGGGAAUAUUGCACAAUGGGCGCAAGCCUGAUGCAGCCAUGCCGCGUGUAUGAAGAAGGCCUUCGGGUUGUAAAGUACUUUCAGUCGGGAGGAAGGUGGUAAGGUUAAUAACCUUAUCAAUUGACGUUACCGACAGAAGAAGCACCGGCUAACUCCGUGCCAGCAGCCGCGGUAAUACGGAGGGUGCAAGCGUUAAUCGGAAUUACUGGGCGUAAAGCGAACGCAGGCGGUUGAUUGAGUCAGAUGUGAAAUCCCCGGGCUUAACACGGGAAUUGCAUCUGAUACUGGUCAGCUAGAGUCUUGUAGAGGGGGGUAGAAUUCCAUGUGUAGCGGUGAAAUGCGUAGAGAUGUGGAGGAAUACCGGUGGCGAAGGCGGCCCCCUGGACAAAGAAUGACGCUCAGGUGCGAAAGCGUGGGGAGCAAACAGG